This 253-nucleotide ribosomal RNA is filed under the name uncultured bacterium. Its description in RNAcentral is "partial 16S ribosomal RNA". It matches the Rfam family "Bacterial small subunit ribosomal RNA", at positions 524 to 776 of the family's 1533-position model. The record is from RNAcentral.
GACAGAGGGUGCAAGCGUUGUUCGGAAUUACUGGGCGUAAAGGGCGUGUAGGCGGUGGAGUGUGUCUGGUGUGAAAGCCCUCGGCUUAACCGAGGAACUGCAUUAGAAACUACUCCGCUGGAGUGCGAGAGAGGAAGGCGGAAUUCCCAGUGUAGAGGUGAAAUUCGUAGAUACUGGGAGGAACACCGGAGGCGAAGGCGGCCUUCUGGCUCGUAACUGACGCUGAGACGCGAAAGCGUGGGUAGCAAACAGG